AGGGAGAUGGCAAAGCCGCCGGCGGAGAGAAGAAAGAGGGAGACGCCAAAGCCGCCUCCGGGGGAAAGCAGGAGGAGGGUGGUGUGAAGGUGGAGGUGAACAAAAUGGAGUACCACGGAUACGGCUAUGCGCCGCCUCCACAGUACUAUUACGGACCACCCAUGUAUAAUCAUGGAUAUCCUGCCGAAGGUCCGAGCCAAUGGUACGAACCACCCAUGUACGGUCAGGGAUACAGCGGAGAGGGUCCGAGUCAUCAUGGUUAUGUAGUGGAGCACACGCCACCGCCUCAGAUAUUCAGCGACGAGAAUCCCAAUGCAUGUUCCGUCAUGUGAAACCAGGUUUACAGAAGGAAGACAAUCAAGAAGCCCAGAGUUGUAAAUAAAGCAAAAAAGCUUAU
RNAcentral lists this long non-coding RNA (397 nucleotides) under Vitis vinifera (wine grape). Its description in RNAcentral is "long non-coding RNA (VVIN_LNC002523)". Lineage: Eukaryota; Viridiplantae; Streptophyta; Magnoliopsida; Vitales; Vitaceae. The record is from RNAcentral.